RNAcentral lists this long non-coding RNA (1829 nucleotides) under Malus domestica (apple). RNAcentral's name for it is "long non-coding RNA (MDOM_LNC020336)". Lineage: Eukaryota; Viridiplantae; Streptophyta; Magnoliopsida; Rosales; Rosaceae. The record is from RNAcentral.
UAUAUUAUUUUUUUAUAGAGAUAAUAAGACAAAAAUGAAUAGUAAUAUAAAAUGUUGACGUGGCUUAACCGUGACCACACAAACAGAAGGGCAUGGGAGGGAACAGAAACAAGGAGGGCAUACAAUCCUUGUCCAUAUGGAAGAGUAGUGUGUGCUCCAUAGAUCGGACUGCAAGGUUGCUGGAUGUGAGGAUGGAAUAUCAAAGAUUGCAUACAUAAAAAAAACAUCCCGUCGACUCCAAAUUCAAGUUCCUAGUGAAACUGUUCAAAAUAGAACUUGAGUUUAGUAUCAGAACAUUAGAAACAGCACCUUCGAUCAUGGAACUUAACUUUGCUAUAGAAGCUUCCAGUUAAGCUACACGAGCAUCCAUUGCAGAAAAUCGAAUGGCAGUGUUAUGGCUUGACAUAAAUGGAAGGGAAAUCAGGACCGUGGAUGAUCCCAAUGAUAAGAACUAAUACUAGACUGAUUCAAGCCCAACUCAUUACAAUUUAACCCCAAUUCAUUACAAAAGAAAUGCAAAUUACACUUUUAACUAGCAAAAUCAUAAAAAAUACUGAAAUUGUUGUUGUUCAUCUUCUCCGAUCUUACAUCCUCCAUUUCUGGAAAUCCUGCAACAAGGUUAAGGUUGAAUCAUAAAAAUUACACUUUUUUUGUUGAAUAGAGAGUCACAAAAUCAUAAAAACCAACUCCACAAAAGAAAUGCAAAUUACACUUCAACUCCAAUUCAUUACAAUUUAACCCAAAACAAUUAAUUUGUGACUAAGUCAUUCAUAAGAACACAACAUAUUAUACAUGUAUUAUAUGCAUAUAUACAUUUUUUUUAACAAACGAUAUUAUCUACACUAAGAGGGAUGGGUGGGCUUAGCCUCACAAUGAGCUAUCAAUAAUGUGGUUCACAUAUUUUUUUUUUUAUUAUAAAUAAAUAAAUGCUUCUUCCAUACUAAUUUCAAAAAUGGGGUAAUAUACGUGACUUUUUAAUCAUAAAUGUUUAAUACCCGUUUUAUACAAAAAUCAAUAUUAUAGGACUAAAAAAGUUCUUCAAAUCAAAACUCGUCUCUACCGCCUAGAAAACUCAUCACCUCUCCCCUCAGACUUGCGUGUGGCAAUAUAAUAUGAUACAGUUGUUGUUGGCAAAUAAUAUGAGGUGAUACCGUAAUCGUUGUCGGAAAAUAAUAUGAGGUGAUACCAUAGUCGUUGUUGGAAACAUAUUAAUUUGCCAUUUUCGUAUUUUAUGGCCGAACUUUUCAAAGUAAAAUUAUCGAACUAUACAUGUACGUAUUGUUCCCUUUAUAUUAAGGGUAAAUUACAUAAAACUACCUCAACUAUUGGGUCAGUCACAGUUUCAUACCUCAUCUUUAAAAAAUUUCAAUUUCAUACCUCAUCUAUGAAUUUUUAACAAUUUCAUACAUUCCGUCAGUUUUCUGUCAAUUUUUUCGUUAAAUAGUGACGUGGCUUAAAAAAUUAAUUAAAUAUUAAAAAACUAAAAAAAAAUCAUUUUUUUACACGGGGACCCACUCACAUACCCUUUCUUCCCCCUCCCUUUCCUCCCCUACUUCUCUCUCUCGCCGCGCCCAUAACCCCCUUUCUUCCCCAAACCCAAAAUCAACUAGAUACCAUCCUAAACCUAGAUCCCACUCCCCGCUGCCAUACCAUCCCAAACCUAGAUCCCAAUUCCCGCUGCGAUUCUCCGGCACAUCCUUCAGCGCACCCACUCCUCCUUCACCUCCCUCAGCGCACCCACUUCUCCCUUACCUCCCUCAACGCCCUUAUCCGCAGCCACUAUUCGCCACAUCCAACAAAUCCACCAAAACCCUUACCCCGGAAACCUU